RNAcentral lists this transfer RNA (77 nucleotides) under candidate division WWE3 bacterium. RNAcentral's name for it is "tRNA-Ala". It matches the Rfam family "tRNA". Rfam says of the family: Transfer RNA (tRNA) molecules are approximately 80 nucleotides in length. Their secondary structure includes four short double-helical elements and three loops (D, anti-codon, and T loops). Further hydrogen bonds mediate the characteristic L-shaped molecular structure. tRNAs have two regions of fundamental functional importance: the anti-codon, which is responsible for specific mRNA codon recognition, and the 3' end, to which the tRNAs corresponding amino acid is attached (by aminoacyl-tRNA synthetases). tRNAs cope with the degeneracy of the genetic code in two manners: having more than one tRNA (with a specific anti-codon) for a particular amino acid; and 'wobble' base-pairing, i.e. permitting non-standard base-pairing at the 3rd anti-codon position. The record is from RNAcentral. Lineage: Bacteria; candidate division WWE3.
GGGGUGUUAGCUCAGAUGGCUAGAGCGUCACGCUGGCAGCGUGAAGGUCACCGGUUCGAUCCCGGUACACUCCACCA